This 434-nucleotide long non-coding RNA is filed under the name Brassica napus (rape). RNAcentral's name for it is "long non-coding RNA (BNAP_LNC009906)". Lineage: Eukaryota; Viridiplantae; Streptophyta; Magnoliopsida; Brassicales; Brassicaceae. The record is from RNAcentral.
AAAAGUAUAUAUUUAAUCAAAUGAAUUAAAGAAAUUUUAUUAAAAAUUCAUAACAAAGUAGAUUAUAAGAAUUAAAAUAAAUAAAUUAAAUAUAUCUUAUAUAACUUUUAUAUUUAAUAUAAAUAAAAAUAAUAUAGUUAUAUUGUUUCAGAUACACUAAAAUAAUAAUUGUAAAACACUACUUAUCAAAAUUUAUAAAAUAUAUUGAUUUUGUAAAUUAGAUUUUGUUAAAAUAUUUUUACGCUUUUAAGACACGGGUCAAAAUCUAAUUUAGGUAAAUUGCCGUCAGGUACGUCACAUUUGAAUUGAUGAAACGGAAGAUUUAAACGGUCUCUGACAUAAACAUUAUUCUUUGGAUGAAUGAAAUUAAACUCGUGAUGUUAACUACAUCUAUUACAAUAAAAUAAACUAUUCUCACUUCUUAAGCCACCACC